Carassius auratus (goldfish) is the source of this 800-nucleotide long non-coding RNA. RefSeq lists it as uncharacterized. The record is from RefSeq and is a predicted model, not a curated record. The transcript is spliced from 3 exons. Lineage: Eukaryota; Metazoa; Chordata; Actinopteri; Cypriniformes; Cyprinidae.
UCAAAUGGCUCGUGAAUCAGAUUUUACUGAAUCCUCGACAAGAAUCGGUUUCUUUUAAAAAAGACUAUUCACUACUGUGUAUGCAGAUAAUAAAUCCAUCUCAAAGUCAUUUCUCCUUGAGGACCAACAAUCUAAUGGGCUGCACGUUUAAUCAAGGUAAAUGCUUCAAUCCCGUAUGAAUUCUUGAUGCCAUAGAGAGAUAGAAGACAUCUAACGAAAACACAAACUAAAUAAUUUUCAAGUGUCAAGUUGCUUAGCCAGUCUCGGGAGGAGGAUUUUUAGUAGUACUUAUCAUUGGUUGAAUAAGUAGUGGAUUUUGCCUUGCUCAAGGGCACCGAAGUCGUGAUAUUGCCGGCCCGAGACUCGAAACUACAACCCUAGGGUUAGAAGUCAUACUGUCUAACCAUUAGGCCACAACUUCCCACAAUAUUUUAUACUUAAUAUAGUUUGCUAUCAUCCAAUACAUUGAGGAAACUCGUCCAGAGCCAGGCCUCUGCCUGCAGACCCAAAGCAGCGGGCCCAUGUCCGCAUCAUCUGUGACAUCAUCCCGUCUGGGACCCAGCCCCUCCAGGUUCAACAUGAAAUGUGCUUACAGAAUGUGUUGUGUGAUUCAGAAAAUUGGAGCAGAGAAGGUACAGUGUCCUCAACAUUUCAUCAACUGAGGAUUCGAGGACAUCUAUGAACAAGAGAGGAGCUGUACAUACCAGUGACUUAAAGGAAGAUGUGUGAGUGCAAUGUGAAACAUACAAAGUGGACAAAAAUGCAAAUGUGAAAACAGGUAAAGUACGUGCAAAAUAAGA